UACGAAGGGGGCUAGCGUUGCUCGGAAUGACUGGGCGUAAAGGGCGCGUAGGCGGCACACACAGUCAGGCGUGAAAUUCCUGGGCUUAACCUGGGGGCUGCGUUUGAGACGUGUGAGCUAGAGGAUGGAAGAGGCUCGUGGAAUUCCCAGUGUAGAGGUGAAAUUCGUAGAUAUUGGGAAGAACACCGGUGGCGAAGGCGGCGAGCUGGUCCAUUACUGACGCUGAGGCGCGAAAGCGUGGGGAGCAAACGGG
RNAcentral lists this ribosomal RNA (253 nucleotides) under uncultured bacterium. Its description in RNAcentral is "partial 16S ribosomal RNA". It matches the Rfam family "Bacterial small subunit ribosomal RNA", at positions 524 to 776 of the family's 1533-position model. The record is from RNAcentral.